CCUACGGGGGGCAGCAGUGGGGAAUAUUGCGCAAUGGGCGAAAGCCUGACGCAGCGAUGCCGCGUGAGGGAUGAAGGUCUUCGGAUCGUAAACUUCUGUCAGCAGGGAAGAACGGUCACUGUGCUAAUCAGCAGUGAAUUGACGGUACCUGCAGAGGAAGCACCGGCUAACUCCGUGCCAGCAGCCGCGGUAAUACGGAGGGUGCGAGCGUUAAUCGGAAUUACUGGGCGUAAAGCGCUCGUAGGCGGUAUGUCAAGUCAAGGGUGAAAUCCCCGCGCUCAACGUGGGAACUGCCUUUGAAACUGGCAAGCUGGAGUGUGUGAGAGGAGAGUGGAAUUCCAGGUGUAGGGGUGAAAUCCGUAGAGAUCUGGAGGAACAUCGGUGGCGAAGGCGACUAUCUGGCACAUGACUGACGCUGAGGAGCGAAAGCGUGGGUAGCAAACAGGAUUAGAUACCCGAGUAGUC
Molecule: ribosomal RNA, 465 nt
Filed under: uncultured bacterium
Lineage: Bacteria
Description: partial 16S ribosomal RNA
Rfam family: Bacterial small subunit ribosomal RNA
Source: RNAcentral